RNAcentral lists this ribosomal RNA (254 nucleotides) under uncultured bacterium. RNAcentral describes it as "partial 16S ribosomal RNA". It matches the Rfam family "Bacterial small subunit ribosomal RNA", at positions 524 to 776 of the family's 1533-position model. The record is from RNAcentral.
UACGGGGGGGGCAAGCGUUGUUCGGAAUUACUGGGCGUAAAGGGCUCGUAGGCGGCCAACUAAGUCAGACGUGAAAUCCCCAGGCUCAACCUGGGAACUGCGUCUGAUACUGGAUGGCUUGAAUCCGGGAGAGGGAUGCAGAAUUCCAGGUGUAGCGGUGAAAUGCGUAGAUAUCAAGAGGAACACCUGAGGUGAAGACGGGUUGCUGGGCUGACACUGACGCUGAGUGCGCGAAAGCCAGGGGAGCAAACGGG